GUCUCCAUAACGCAAUUGGUUAGCGUGUCGGACUUCUACGGAUUUGUCCUUUUUGGCAAUUUCCUCCAUCCGGAGGUUGCGGGUUCGAGUCCCGCUGGAGACU
Transfer RNA from Tilletiaria anomala, 103 nucleotides. It matches the Rfam family "tRNA". Rfam says of the family: Transfer RNA (tRNA) molecules are approximately 80 nucleotides in length. Their secondary structure includes four short double-helical elements and three loops (D, anti-codon, and T loops). Further hydrogen bonds mediate the characteristic L-shaped molecular structure. tRNAs have two regions of fundamental functional importance: the anti-codon, which is responsible for specific mRNA codon recognition, and the 3' end, to which the tRNAs corresponding amino acid is attached (by aminoacyl-tRNA synthetases). tRNAs cope with the degeneracy of the genetic code in two manners: having more than one tRNA (with a specific anti-codon) for a particular amino acid; and 'wobble' base-pairing, i.e. permitting non-standard base-pairing at the 3rd anti-codon position. NCBI's taxonomy places the organism in Eukaryota, Fungi, Basidiomycota, Exobasidiomycetes, Georgefischeriales, Tilletiariaceae. The record is from Rfam.